This 1430-nucleotide long non-coding RNA is filed under the name Macaca fascicularis (crab-eating macaque). Its description in RNAcentral is "lncRNA (ENSMFAG00000049339.1)". Lineage: Eukaryota; Metazoa; Chordata; Mammalia; Primates; Cercopithecidae. The record is from RNAcentral.
CCAGGUGUCUGCACAGCAGGCUCUGCCCUCACCCUCCCCUCAUGCCCACAGCCAGGUGUCUGCACAGCAGGCUCUGCCCUCACCCUCCCCUCAUGCCCACAGCCAGGUGUCUGCACACAGGCUCUGCCCUCACCCUCCCCUCGUGCCCACAGCCAGGUGUCUGCACACAGGCUCUGCCCUCACCCCUGUGCCCACAGCCAGGGCCGACAGCCAUUCCAGGACAGAGGGCUCCCUAACCCACAGAAUGAUCGGGGUCAGGGAAGCAGCAGACAUGGCAAAGAGGAUCUGACCCUGGAGACACCUGAAUUCCCAUGACGACCCGACUACCUCACAAGCCAAAGCUUCCUUCUCUGAAGGAAACAGACAGCAGCUGCCACCGUGCAGGGCUCUGCAGGAACGGACGGGGACAGGCUUGGAAGGUACCUUUAUAGACGAGUCCACAGGAACUCCAGAAAAUAUUACUUCCUUCCCACAUAUCCUUGCAGGAGGGAAGAAAAAACCCUAACCAUAUAUUUCCAAUAUGCUUUAUCUUUGUCCAAAACAGUCUAAGAACCUACAGAAAGAUCGGGGGGAAAUGGGGAAGUUACAUUUUGAAUCAAGAAUGUGAAAUGCUGGCUGAUCUUUUUCAAACUGUUGGUUAUCAAUAUUUUUUCAUCUUAAGAAUUUUUUUAAAUUUUUCAUUUUGAAAUAAUUUCAGACAUACAGAAAAGUUGCAAAAGCAGUACAGGGGAUUCUUACGUACUCUUUACCCUGAUUUCCUAAACCCUGACAUUUUACGUUUACUGUUCUUUCUCUGUCUCAUGUAAUUAUUUUUCAGAGCCACUUGACACUACAUUGCAGGCAUGAUAGCCCUUCGCAUAGUAAAUGAUUCACUGUGUGUUUACUAAAACCAAUGGGAUUUUCAUAAUAACCACAGUACGAUCAUCAAAAUCUUGAGAUACUAGUAUUUCACUGACAAACCUUAUUCACAUUUUGGCAGUUGUUCCACUCCUGUGUUUUAUAGGAAAUGAAAAAACAAAACUCCACACAAAACCACAUGUUGUACUCGUCACAUCUCUAGUUUUAUUUAACCUGGAACCAUUUCUCAGUCUUUCUCCAUCUCCACUGAGAAUUUUUCCCUUUACAAAUCAUAAGAAGAAAAGAACCGGAUCAUGAGAGCCCCUUCCAGGAAUUAUUCAGUGUGUGAAAAUCCGAAGGUUAUGAACUUCAGAGAACGUUUGUUCGCCUUUUCUAUUUCAGCACACGCGUGGCUGCCGGACUGCAUGUGUGGUUAUGGACUUUGGUCAGGAAAGUGCCUGGAAGCCAAAGGUGAGAGGGAAAAGGUGAAAAGGAAAAGGUUUCUCGACAAAAACAUCAGACACUUGUUCUUCCUCCAAGAUCCCAGCAAACUCACAGGAAUGCCACGAGGUCUUAGAGCACAUGUUUGUGCU